UGGGGAAUUUUGGACAAUGGGCGAAAGCCUGAUCCAGCAAUGCCGCGUGUGUGAAGAAGGCCUUCGGGUUGUAAAGCACUUUUGUCCGGAAAGAAAUCCUUGGCUCUAAUACAGUCGGGGGAUGACGGUACCGGAAGAAUAAGCACCGGCUAACUACGUGCCAGCAGCCGCGGUAAUACGUAGGGUGCAAGCGUUAAUCGGAAUUACUGGGCGUAAAGCGUGCGCAGGCGGUUUGCUAAGACCGAUGUGAAAUCCCCGGGCUCAACCUGGGAACUGCAUUGGUGACUGGCAGGCUAGAGUAUGGCAGAGGGGGGUAGAAUUCCACGUGUAGCAGUGAAAUGCGUAGAGAUGUGGAGGAAUACCGAUGGCGAAGGCAGCCCCCUGGGCCAAUACUGACGCUCAUGCACGAAAGCGUGGGGAGCAAACAGGAUUAGAUACCCUGGUAGUCCACGCCCUAAAACGAUGUCAACUAGUUGUUGGGGAUUCAUUUCCUUAGUAACGUAGCUAACGCGUGAAGUUGACCGCCUGGGGAGUACGGUCGCAAGAUUAAAACUCAAAUGAAUUGACGGGGUCAUAG
This 577-nucleotide ribosomal RNA is filed under the name uncultured bacterium. RNAcentral's name for it is "partial 16S ribosomal RNA". It matches the Rfam family "Bacterial small subunit ribosomal RNA", at positions 355 to 924 of the family's 1533-position model. The record is from RNAcentral.